AGAGUUUGAUCAUGGCUCAGAACGAACGUUGGCGGCGUGGAUUAGGCAUGCAAGUCGAACGAAUCCCGUAGCAAUACGGGGGAAGUGGCGAAAGGGGCAGUAAUGUAUGGAUAACCUACCCUGGGGUUGGGCAUAGCCGUUCUAACGGACGGGUAAUACCCAGCGAUUCGGCGAGGUGGCAUCGCUUUGCCGGGAAAGAAUUUCGCCUCGGGAGGGGUCCAUAUUGUAUUACCUAGUUGGUGAGGUAACGGCUCACCAAGGGGAAGAUGCAUAGCGGGUGUGAGAGCACGACCCGCGCCACUGGCACUGUGACACUGGCCAGACACCUACGGGUGGCUGCAGUCGAGGAUCUUCGUCAAUGGGCGAAAGCCUGAACGAGCGACGCCGCGUGUGCGAUGAAGGCCUUCGGGUUGUAAAGCACAAAAGUGGGGAUAAAGCCGAAAGGUUGAUUGAUCCACAGUAAGCUCGGGCUAAGUUCGUGCCAGCAGCCGCGGUAAGACGAACCGAGCGAACGUUGUUCGGAAUAACUGGGCUUAAAGGGCGCGUAGGCGGGUGAUCAAGUCGGUGGUGAAAUCCUACAGCUCAACUGUAGAACUGCCUUCGAUACUGGUUACCUCGAGCAAGGUAGGGGCGUACGGAACUGUUGGUGGAGCGGUGAAAUGCGUUGAUAUCAACAGGAACUCCGGUGGCGAAAGCGGUACGCUGGACCUUUUCUGACGCUGAGGCGCGAAAGCUAGGGGAGCAAACGGGAUUAGAUACCCCGGUAGUCCUAGCCCUAAACGUUGGGUACUAGAUAGUAGUCUAACAUGGGAUUACUGUCGAAGUUAAAAUGCUAAGUACCCCGCCUGGGGAGUAUGGUCGCAAGGCUGAAACUCAAAGGAAUUGACGGGGGCUCACACAAGCGGUGGAGCAUGUGGCUUAAUUCGAGGCUACGCGAAGAACCUUAUCCUAGACUUGACAUGUGCGAAAGCGUUAGGAAGUAACUUGCGGAAACGUUAAGUGAACGGUAUCCAGUCCGGAACCUAAUACAGGUGCUGCAUGGCUGUCGUCAGCUCGUGUCGUGAGAUGUCGGGUUAAGUCCCAUAACGAGCGAAACCCUUACCCUUAGUUGCAACCUUCGGGGCACUCUAGGGGGACUGCCGGUGUUAAACCGGAGGAGGGCGGGGAUGACGUCAAGUCCUCAUGGCCUUUACGUCUAGGGCUGCACACGUGCUACAAUGGCGUGAACAAAGGGAAGCAAACUCGCGAGAGGGAGCAAAUCCCAAAAAACACGCCCCAGUUCAGAUCGAAGGCUGCAACUCGCCUUCGUGAAGUUGGAAUCGCUAGUAAUCGCGGGUCAGCAACACCGCGGUGAAUGUGUUCCUGAGCCUUGUACACACCGCCCGUCAAGCCACGAAAGAGGGGAGCGCCCGAAGCCGCUAACGCGUCGAAGGCGAAACCCUUGAUUGGGACUAAGUCGUAACAAGGUAACC
RNAcentral lists this ribosomal RNA (1472 nucleotides) under uncultured Planctomycetaceae bacterium. RNAcentral describes it as "bacterial SSU rRNA". It matches the Rfam family "Bacterial small subunit ribosomal RNA". The record is from RNAcentral. Lineage: Bacteria; Pseudomonadati; Planctomycetota; Planctomycetia; Planctomycetales; Planctomycetaceae.